This is a non-coding RNA of Strongylocentrotus purpuratus (purple sea urchin), 71 nucleotides long. NCBI's taxonomy places the organism in Eukaryota, Metazoa, Echinodermata, Echinoidea, Camarodonta, Strongylocentrotidae. The record is from Rfam.
GCACGAUAGCUCAAUCGGUAGAGCAGCAGACUCGUAAUCCGGUGACCCAGGUUCGAAACCAGGUCGAUGCG